RNAcentral lists this long non-coding RNA (708 nucleotides) under Zostera marina. RNAcentral's name for it is "long non-coding RNA (ZMAR_LNC001254)". The record is from RNAcentral. Lineage: Eukaryota; Viridiplantae; Streptophyta; Magnoliopsida; Alismatales; Zosteraceae.
CAGAGCUAGAAGAAGACGGUUAUACCUCUUCUCACAUAGGUCGACUAGCUUCCACUGCAGAGAAAGAAACAGGGAUGAACGCUAAUACUUUAAGAAAAUUGACCACCAAACAGAUCAAAUGUGUUGUGCUAGCUGGAGGAUCAGAACUUCUUUUGCUGGAAAACAUAAUUUUCAGCAUUAUUGAAAGGUUAUCACCUCCUGGAUUACGUCGACGGGAAGGUGGAAAUCACGCCGGGAACCAUCACCGAGCAAUAAGAUGGCCAGCUAAUUUUAAGCUGGAUCCUCACGUCGAUUUCACCCUCCAUCUUCAUACAGGUUAGCGCGCUGACGACGUCCGCCGAGGUCUGGAAAUAUCUUGCCGAUAUGUUCGCGUCUAAUUCCGAGACGCGGGUGCUUCAUCUUCGCUUCCAAUUGCAGAGCAUCAAGAAGGAAGAUCUAAGCAUGCUAGAUUUCUUGAAAAAGAUUUCAAUUGCCAAAGAUAGAUUGGCUGCUGCGGAAGAAGGACUCAAGGAUUCCCAAAUCAUCUUGAUAGCAUUGGGCGGACUUGGGUCCGAGUACCAACCAUUCGUGACAUCGGUCACAACCAGGUUUGAUAGCAAGAUGACUUUCCCCAAUUUAAAAGAAUUUUACCGGAUCAUGAUCUACAACUCUCAACAACAUCGACACCCAUACGGAAUGAAGCAAAUGUUGUUGUGAAAAAUAAAAACG